AACACCUCAAAUCCCUCUACUUGUUGGAGGAAUUUGGACUUGAGCAAUCCCAACUUUUCGAAAGAGAAGGCGGGUUGCUUGAAAUGCAGGUGCAGCUAGAUUCUUUCUUCUGAGCUAUAAGCAUACUUAUUUAAUCCCGUCAAACGGAUUAUUACUUUUGCUGCAGCUAACAUAAAGGUUGAAGAGUCGCUAUGGCUGACUGAUGCAGGAUUUAACAUUUCGCGCAAGCGAUUUGUAA
Molecule: unclassified non-coding RNA, 238 nt
Filed under: Mortierella pseudozygospora
Lineage: Eukaryota; Fungi; Mortierellomycota; Mortierellomycetes; Mortierellales; Mortierellaceae
Description: partial internal transcribed spacer 2
Source: RNAcentral